GACGAACGCUGGCGGCGUGCUUAACACAUGCAAGUCGAACGGAAAGGCCCUGCUUUUGUGGGGUGCUCGAGUGGCGAACGGGUGAGUAACACGUGAGUAACCUGCCCUUGACUUUGGGAUAACUUCAGGAAACUGGGGCUAAUACCGGAUAGGAGCUCCUGCUUCAUGGUGGGGGUUGGAAAGUUUCGGCGGUUGGGGCUGGACUCGCGGCUUAUCAGCUUGUUGGUGGGGUAGUGGCUUACCAAGGCUUUGACGGGUAGCCGGCCUGAGAGGGUGACCGGCCACAUUGGGACUGAGAGACGGCCCAGACUCCUACGGGAGGCAGCAGUGGGGAAUAUUGCACAAUGGGCGGAAGCCUGAUGCAGCAACGCCGCGUGCGGGAUGAAGGCCUUCGGGUUGUAAACCGCUUUCGCCUGUGACGAAGCGUGAGUGACGGUAAUGGGUAAAGAAGCACCGGCUAACUACGUG
RNAcentral lists this ribosomal RNA (468 nucleotides) under uncultured bacterium. RNAcentral's name for it is "partial 16S ribosomal RNA". It matches the Rfam family "Bacterial small subunit ribosomal RNA", at positions 28 to 507 of the family's 1533-position model. The record is from RNAcentral.